Dreissena polymorpha is the source of this 1527-nucleotide long non-coding RNA. RefSeq lists it as uncharacterized. The record is from RefSeq and is a predicted model, not a curated record. The transcript has 2 exons. NCBI's taxonomy places the organism in Eukaryota, Metazoa, Mollusca, Bivalvia, Myida, Dreissenidae.
UACUGUUGUGCCGGUGCCCAGCCUAUAAAACGCGCACAUACCUCGUGACUGGGAACCAGCGACAAAUCGGUAUAGUGCAUGCUGGGCAGCACGAGUUUGUACGGUCUCUUGUGCACGGGACGUUGAGGUGAGUAGAUGUGUUUAUGUGCCUAUGUCCCUAUGUGAGUAUUGUGUGUGAAAUAGUGAGCCUGCGUAUAGUUUAUAUUGUAUUAUAUGGUAUUGUAUUGUAUAUGUGUGUCGGUAACUGUGAGCCUGUAAUUGUGAACCUGUGCGUGUAACCCUGAGUACGUAAGUAGUUCCAGGGGGUUUAGCCUGUUUAUGUAAGCCAGUGUCUAGCUGUGAGCCUGUGUGUAUUGUAUUAUAUUGUAUUUUAUGUGCGUUCAACACGUAUUUACCUGGAAGGCCAUUCCCAGAAGAUAUAAGUGAGUCUGUGACUGUGUAUGUAAGCCGGUGGCUGUGUGUUUAAGUACGUGUUUGCCUGGAAGUGUAUUCCCAGAAGUACAUGUAUAGUGCCAUUUCGUGACGUGGACGAGCCGACAAGUGUACCCGACGAGCCGACGAGUGCACCCGACGAGCCGACGAGUGUACCCGACGAGCCGACGCGUGAAGCCGACAAGUUCCCUCGAAGACGACGAGGACGAUUGGUGCCGUCCAGACGUGGAUUCCAGUCGAUGCCCAUACGUUGCGCAGAAAGAGAGGUCGGACGAAAGCUGGCCGGCAUGCAGACCUAUAACAUUGAGGUGUUCGGUCAAGGUGCUUACGCGAGGGGCACUAUUACUUCAUCGGUAUAUAGCGCCGGUACGAUUCCUUCGCUGUGUGGCGUCGUCCCAAAAGGAGAAAAGUGGGAGGAGUGUUGUGCCGGUGCCCAGCCUAUAAAACGCGCACAUACCUCGUGACUGGGAACCAGCGACAAAUCGGUAUAGUGCAUGCUGGGCAGCACGAGUUUGUACGGUCUCUUGUGCACGGGACGUUGAGGUGAGUAGAUGUGUUUAUGUGCCUAUGUCCCUAUGUGAGUAUUGUGUGUGAAAUAGUGAGCCUGCGUAUAGUUUAUAUUGUAUUAUAUGGUAUUGUAUUGUAUAUGUGUGUCGGUAACUGUGAGCCUGUAAUUGUGAACCUGUGCGUGUAACCCUGAGUACGUAAGUAGUUCCAGGGGGUUUAGCCUGUGUAUGUAAGCCAGUGUCUAGCUGUGAGCCUGUGUGUAUUGUAUUAUAUUGUAUUUUAUGUGCGUUCAACACGUAUUUACCUGGAAGGCCAUUCCCAGAAGAUAUAAGUGAGUCUGUGACUGUGUAUGUAAGCCGGUGGCUGUGUGUUUAAGUACGUGUUUGCCUGGAAGUGUAUUCCCAGAAGUACAUGUAUAGUGCCAUUUCGUGACGUGGACGAGCCGACAAGUGUACCCGACGAGCCGACGAGUGCACCCGACGAGCCGACGAGUGUACCCGACGAGCCGACGCGUGAAGCCGACAAGUUCCCUCGAAGACGACGAGGACGAUUGGUGCCGUCCAGACGUGGAUUCCAGUCGAUGCCCAU